RNAcentral lists this ribosomal RNA (440 nucleotides) under uncultured bacterium. RNAcentral's name for it is "bacterial SSU rRNA". It matches the Rfam family "Bacterial small subunit ribosomal RNA", at positions 29 to 507 of the family's 1533-position model. The record is from RNAcentral.
AACGAACGCUGGCGGCAGGCUUAACACAUGCAAGUCGAACGCCCGUAGCAAUACGGGAGUGGCGGACGGGUGAGUAACGCGUGGGAACGUACCCUGAGGUACGGAAUAACCGAGGGAAACUUCGGCUAAUACCGUAUGAGCCCCGCAAGGGGGAAAGAUUUAUCGCCUUGGGAGCGGCCCGCGUCGGAUUAGCUAGUUGGUGGGGUAACGGCCUACCAAGGCUUUCGAUCCGUAGCUGGUCUGAGAGGACGAUCAGCCACACUGGGACUGAGACACGGCCCAGACUCCUACGGGAGGCAGCAGUGGGGAAUCUUGCGCAAUGGGGGCAAGCCUGACCCAGCGACGCCGCGUGGAGGACGAAGGGCUUCGGCUCGUAAACUCCUUUUCCCGUGGACGAGAGAAGGACGGUACACGGGGAAUAAGUCUCGGCUAACUACGUG